AGAGUUUGAUUCUGGCUCAGGAUGGACGCUGGCGGCGCGCCUAACACAUGCAAGUCGAACGGUGAGGUCCCUUCGGGGGCUGAUCAGUGGCGGACGGGUGAGUAACGCGUGAGGAACCUGCCCUUAUGAGCGGAAUAACGUCGGGAAACUGACGCUAAUACCGCAUAAUGCAUCACCGGGGCAUCGCGGUGAUGCCAAAGCUUCGGCGCAUAAGGAUGGACUCGCGUCCCAUUAGAUAGUUGGCGGGGCAACGGCCCACCAAGUCAGCGAUGGGUAGCCGGACUGAGAGGUUGAACGGCCACAUUGGAACUGAGAGACGGUCCAGACUCCUACGGGAGGCAGCAGUGGGGAAUAUUGGGCAAUGGGCGGAAGCCUGACCCAGCCGACGCCGCGUGAGCGAAGAAGGUCUUCGGAUUGUAAAGCUCUGUGUACAGGGACGAUAAUGACGGUACCUGUAUAGAAAGCCACGGCUAACUACGUGCCAGCAGCUGC
Molecule: ribosomal RNA, 492 nt
Filed under: uncultured bacterium
Lineage: Bacteria
Description: bacterial SSU rRNA
Rfam family: Bacterial small subunit ribosomal RNA
Source: RNAcentral